RNAcentral lists this transfer RNA (77 nucleotides) under Chloroflexota bacterium. Its description in RNAcentral is "tRNA-Glu". It matches the Rfam family "tRNA". Rfam says of the family: Transfer RNA (tRNA) molecules are approximately 80 nucleotides in length. Lineage: Bacteria; Bacillati; Chloroflexota. The record is from RNAcentral. RNAcentral also lists the same sequence under 1 other name.
GGCCCCAUCGUCUAGCGGUCCAGGACACAACCCUUUCAAGGUUGAGAUCGCGGGUUCGAAUCCCGCUGGGGUCACCA